This 74-nucleotide transfer RNA is filed under the name Candidatus Woesearchaeota archaeon. Its description in RNAcentral is "tRNA-Cys". It matches the Rfam family "tRNA". Rfam says of the family: Transfer RNA (tRNA) molecules are approximately 80 nucleotides in length. Their secondary structure includes four short double-helical elements and three loops (D, anti-codon, and T loops). The record is from RNAcentral. RNAcentral also lists the same sequence under 1 other name. Lineage: Archaea; Nanobdellati; Candidatus Woesearchaeota.
GCGCGGGUGCCCAAGCGGCCUAAGGGGUCCGCCUGCAGAGCGGAUAUUCAUGGGUUCGAAUCCCAUUCCGCGCU